AAAACCCAUUGCUUAUGGUGGCAACAAAUUGUCCUUCUAUCCCUCUUCACUGUUGGGUGUCCUCUGAAUUCCUCCAGAGUGGCUGCUACCCCAGGGGCUGGCAGCUCUGCCGUCUCAUUCUGGGGAAUGUCUGAAGUGUAUUGAUUUUCAGACACUUCAAGGGAAGCUUGAUCUUCAGCCUUACACCUGGGGCCUUUGCUCAGUUUCAUUCUAGCUGAAGAGGAUUAGACCUGGGACUUGAAGAACAGAGGAGUAUACUGAAAGGUGGCAUCUGUCCCCUUGUGGGAGGGAGGCAGACCUGUAUGGAUGGAUCCUCUCUUGGAAAAAUGUCAAAGUAUGUGUCAUAUUUAACAUGAAGGCAGGGUUAGGCAUCCUGACUCACGUCUGAUCUUACCAACUGAGAAGAAGGGGCUCCCACCCUUUCAUUAUUCAAUUUUCCAAUAAAUAUUUAUUGAAAGCUCUACCAGGCAGGGUUUCUAGUUGCAAACAGCAAAAAAUGUACUCCGCUUAAUGUAAGCCGAAAGAGAAUGUAUUAGACCUGAUAGCUUAGAGAAUCAACAGGAAAGUAGGAGAACUCGGCUCCAAAACAAGAAAGGGCCAUGAGAAAAGGGACAAUAGAAACAAACUGCCACCCUUGUCACUAAUUCCCCACUCGCCUGGGGCUUUGCUGUGCUCAGAGCUGCAGUCCCUGGAAGGGGUUGUAACUGGCAAAUUUGGUCACAGUCCUGUGCCCAGGCUGCCUGGGAAAGGAAAUGUCUAUCACCUGUUGGCUUCUUUAGUUGGAGGUCGAGCCUUGUGUCACACCAGAGUCUCACACAACCAGGAGUGCCCCCAAAAUGGGAAGAGAUUUUGGAUGAUGACUAGCCAAAAAAUGACAAUUGUCUACUGCUUUGGGAUUAAGCACCCUACAUGGCCAGGCUCUGGGAUGCACAGAUGGAUGUGACAUGCUUCCUGCCAUCACACAGAUCAUGGUGUACACAGGGUUACCGUACUGUGGAGCAGGGUAAGCUGUGGUCCCUGACAGAGCCACUGGAGGGGUGUCUCACUGUCAAAGGUUGACUCCCAGCUGGGGCACGAGGACCUGAGAAGGCAGUGGUGCCUUUUGCUGAAGCAUGGGCCACAGAAAAGGUAACAGGUUUGAGGUGAAAGAUGAUAAUGUCACUUAGGUAUCUAAGUUCCCUGUGGCUUUCACCUGGAGAGCUGAAUGAGGAAGAACAAAAGAGAGCUGGGCUGUGCCAAGGGCUGUCACGGGGGAGCAGGGUCUCCAGCUUUGGAACCAUCCAGGGCUCUGUUGAUAGCAGCAUCCAUGUUGAGUGAGAGAUGGUGGGAAAGGAAACGGGAUUCCCUACCCUAAAAAAUGUGUGUCAUGAUGACUUAUGGUCUUCGUUCACUUGUUACCUGGAGUGCCUGGAGAUGGAGGAGGUAGUAUGCUGUGCUGAGUGCAAAGGGGAUCUGGCCUACAGCUGCAGGCCCAGGGCUGAACUCCCACAGCUCCCUUGCUGCGGAGCUGAAACCUAGCAUGUGAUGUGGUACCCUUUCUUCAAGAGAGACAGGCCCUUCCUUGGAGCAGGAUGGCAGUGGAAUGCUACCAGCUGCACCCCCGCACAUGUACCCUGGGUCUGCCUGGGGUCUCUUUGUUCCUUUUUCCCUCUUGGAGGGAAAACCACCAAGGAUAGCAGCAGUGAUACCAUGUUCAUUCUCCUGUUAGGUGACACUGCUGAGUGUGGAGAUGACUGCCCUAAAAGAGGAGAGAGACCGACUCAGAGUCACAUCUGAGGACAAGGAGCCAAAGGAGCAGCUUCAGAAGGCCAUCAAGGACCGUGACGAGGCCAUGGAAGAACGCUGUGGAGCUGGAACUCGCCAAGUGCAGGAUGGAUAUGAUGUCUCUGAACAGCCAGUUGCUGGAUGCCAUUCAGCAGAAACUGAACCUCUCGCAGCAGCUGGAAGCUUGGCAGGAUGACAUGCACAGGGUCAUUGACCGGCAGCUGAUGGACACGCACCUGAAGGAACGGAGCCAGCCAGCUGCUGCCCUCUGCAGGGGCCACAGCGCUGGGCGGGGGGAUGAGCCCAGCACCGCUGAAGGCAAACGACUCUUCUCAUUCUUCAGGAAAAUUUAAGUUGGGAGGAGUGAGGCCACCAAAGAUGGGUGGACCGGAGGCAGCUGGAAAAGCAGUGCUGGCGAGGCCUCCCCUGCGGCUCGCACCUCAGCAGCUGCCCUCCCCCUCAUGCUGGGGCCCCAUGGGUCUGGGAGGGCCUGCUCCCUUUCAUUGGUGAGAAUGGAGACCUAGAGGUGGGGGCCUGCCUUGGCCACUGAAGGCUUCCCUCGGCCCACCGCCUGGCCAAGCCCACGCCUGGGCUUCUCCAGGAUCCCCUGCUUGAGCAGGGUUAGGCCACCUCCCAGAGGGCCCCUUGGUGUUGGGCUUUGCUGCUCAUCCCUAACAGAUCGCAGCCCACCCCCAGGCACUGCUGCCUCCUCUAUUUUAGCAAAUGGGGAACAGAAGGAAUGGAGGCCCUUCUCUGCAUGCCUCAGGAGGCCCGAGCCCCGGGGGCCUAGUCCUGUGGGGGCAGUGGGCCAGGCCUAAGCCUCCAUUCCUUCCCCAGCCCCUGGCCCAGGGUCGAAGGGGAGAUGGCAGCCCCUCCCCUGCGUGCAUGCACCUCGGCUGGCAGGAGGCCAAGCCUCUGGCCGCAAGGUCUAAGAGCUGGCGCUUACCCAAGCUCAGCUGAGGCCACCCGAGCCCCAGGGAGGAAGAAGGCCCUGUCCCCCGGUCGCCACUGCUCUCCCUCCCAGCCUCCAGUCUCUGCCCCUUAGCAGGGCCGGGCCAGGCAGAAUGUUGUCACCAGUCAUCUGCAGGCUUUAGCCAUCCAACCCUUUCCCCUGCUCAGGGCUGGGGCUGGAUGGGGUCUCCUCCUCCCACAGUUCCCUCCUCCACUCCUCACAUACAUAUCUUUUUGGCCCAGCCAAACAAGCCCAGGCCACAGAAUGGAACCAGAGGGGUCUGGUCAGCCACCCCACCUUGAGGGCAGCACAGGCACCACAGGGUGGAGGAGAGGGGGAAGCUGCUGGAAGCCUCCAGAUGCCUGCUGGCCUGCAGGAGAAACCUGUAGCAGCUGCUGCUCCUGCCUCUGCAGCUGCCCCACCUCUUCCACCCAGGCCCCAACUCAGAGGCUCCGCAGCCGGCCAGCCCUCAGCUGCUCACAACUGAUUCAGUCUCCCUCCCUCACAUGGGGAAAGCACAGCAGGGAUGCGCGGCAAGAAUGUACCUGUAGAUGUGUACAUACCACAGUGCUGUAAUUUUGUAUGUAGCAAUCAUGUAAAUACAUGUAUGGAUUUUAUAAUAUACAUAUAUAAAAAUUAUAAAGGCAUAUUUUUAGAAAAACAGCACACCACUGCUUCUUUUGAAAAUAGUCCGAAUAAGAAUAAAAUGAAUUUCUAC
Macaca mulatta (Rhesus monkey) is the source of this 3434-nucleotide long non-coding RNA. NCBI's taxonomy places the organism in Eukaryota, Metazoa, Chordata, Mammalia, Primates, Cercopithecidae. The record is from Ensembl.